ACAUACGACCAUAGGUAGUGGAGAAUUUCGGAUCCCGUCCGCUCUCCGGUAAACAAGCCACUAACCGGCAGAUUAGUAGUUGGGUCGGUGACGACCAGCGAACACCGGCUGUUGUAUGUU
Molecule: ribosomal RNA, 120 nt
Filed under: Purpureocillium lilacinum
Lineage: Eukaryota; Fungi; Ascomycota; Sordariomycetes; Hypocreales; Ophiocordycipitaceae
Source: RNAcentral